UACGUAGGGACCGAGCGUUGUCCGGAUUCAUUGGGCGUAAAGAGCUCGUAGGCGGCCACUCAAGUCGAAUGUGAAACCUCGAGGCUUAACCUCGAGCCUGCAUUCGAUACUGGGCGGCUAGAGUCUGGUAGGGGGAUCUGGAAUUCCUGGUGUAGCGGUGGAAUGCGCAGAUAUCAGGAGGAACGCCGAUGGCGAAGGCAGGUCUCUGGGCCGAUACUGACGCUGAGGAGCGAAAGCGUGGGGAGCGAACAGG
RNAcentral lists this ribosomal RNA (253 nucleotides) under uncultured bacterium. Its description in RNAcentral is "partial 16S ribosomal RNA". It matches the Rfam family "Bacterial small subunit ribosomal RNA", at positions 524 to 776 of the family's 1533-position model. The record is from RNAcentral.